Non-coding RNA from Peromyscus maniculatus bairdii (prairie deer mouse), 357 nucleotides. Lineage: Eukaryota; Metazoa; Chordata; Mammalia; Rodentia; Cricetidae. The record is from RefSeq and is a predicted model, not a curated record.
GUUUUCUGAAAGAUCUCCUCGCUGCUUUGCGUAGUGUCUGCACCAGUUCAUUCUCUCAGCAGCAGGGAAUAGAAUGGACCCCUUAGUCUUGAGGGGAGGUAUUUGAUGAAGACAUUCUUUUUUGGCCAAGUGCUCCAAGAUCUCUCAGGGGCUGCACAUCAUCCAAUUUUGGAUCUGUAUCUCCAUGUUUAUUACUAUCUACUGCAAGAAGACGCUUCUGUGAUGAGAGCUGAUCAAAACAUUGAUAUAUAGGUGCCUGAGGAGGUCAGAAAAGGAAUUUAGAUACCAUGGAACUGGAUUUAUAGGCAAUUGUGAGCUGCCUGAUGUGGGUACUUGAACCAAACUCAGAUCCUCUGC